RNAcentral lists this ribosomal RNA (445 nucleotides) under uncultured bacterium. RNAcentral describes it as "bacterial SSU rRNA". It matches the Rfam family "Bacterial small subunit ribosomal RNA", at positions 354 to 796 of the family's 1533-position model. The record is from RNAcentral.
GUGAGGAAUAUUGCGCAAUGGAGGCAACUCUGACGCAGCCAUGCCGCGUGCAGGAAGAAGGCGCUACGCGUUGUAAACUGCUUUUAACCGGGAAGAAACCCCAGGACGUGUCCUGGGUUGACGGUACCGGAGGAAUAAGCACCGGCUAACUUCGUGCCAGCAGCCGCGGUAAUACGAGGGGUGCAAGCGUUAUCCGGAUUCAUUGGGUUUAAAGGGUGCGUAGGCGGAGCGUUAAGUCAGUGGUGAAAUCCUGCAGCUUAACUGUAGACUUGCCAUUGAUACUGGCGCUCUUGAUUGCGCUUGAAGUGGGCGGAAUGUGCCGUGUAGCGGUGAAAUGCUUAGAUAUGGCACAGAACACCAAUUGCGAAGGCAGCUCACUAAGGCGAUACUGACGCUGAGGCACGAAAGCGUGGGGAUCGAACAGGAUUAGAAACCCGGGUAGUCC